RNAcentral lists this ribosomal RNA (301 nucleotides) under uncultured bacterium. Its description in RNAcentral is "partial 16S ribosomal RNA". It matches the Rfam family "Bacterial small subunit ribosomal RNA", at positions 509 to 807 of the family's 1533-position model. The record is from RNAcentral.
CAGUAGCCGCGGGAAUACGAAGGGGGCUAGCGCUGUUCGGAAUUACUGGGCGUAAAGGGCGCGUAGGCGGCCAUUCAAGUUAGAUGUGAAAGCCCUGGGCUCAACCUAGGAAUUGCAUUUGAUACUGUUUGGCUUGAGCUCGGGAGAGGUGAGUGGAAUUCCCAGUGUAGAGGUGAAAUUCGUAGAUAUUGGGAAGAACACCGGUGGCGAAGGCGGCAACCUGGUCCUUGACUGACGCUGAGGCGCGAAAGCGUGGGGAGCAAACAGGAUUAGAUACCCCCGUAGUCCCUGUCUCUUAUAC